This 62-nucleotide microRNA precursor is filed under the name Scyliorhinus torazame (cloudy catshark). Its description in RNAcentral is "Sto-Mir-19-P2c_pre stem-loop". It matches the Rfam family "mir-19 microRNA precursor family", at positions 11 to 71 of the family's 79-position model. From Rfam's summary of the family: The hairpin precursors (represented here) are predicted based on base pairing and cross-species conservation -- their extents are not known. Lineage: Eukaryota; Metazoa; Chordata; Chondrichthyes; Carcharhiniformes; Scyliorhinidae. The record is from RNAcentral.
AGUUUUGCAGGUUUGCAUUCAGCUGAUAUGUGCUGAUGCUGUGCAAAUCCAUGCAAAACUGA